UACGUAGGGUGCGAGCGUUGUCCGGAAUUAUUGGGCGUAAAGAGCUCGUAGGCGGUGUGUCGCGUCGGCCGUGAAAACCUGCAGCUUAACUGUGGGCUUGCGGUCGAUACGGGCAGACUGGAGGUAUGCAGGGGAGAACGGAAUUCCUGGUGUAGCGGUGAAAUGCGCAGAUAUCAGGAGGAACACCGGUGGCGAAGGCGGUUCUCUGGGCAUGUCCUGACGCUGAGGAGCGAAAGUGUGGGGAGCGAACAGG
RNAcentral lists this ribosomal RNA (253 nucleotides) under uncultured bacterium. RNAcentral's name for it is "partial 16S ribosomal RNA". It matches the Rfam family "Bacterial small subunit ribosomal RNA", at positions 524 to 776 of the family's 1533-position model. The record is from RNAcentral.